This 253-nucleotide ribosomal RNA is filed under the name uncultured bacterium. Its description in RNAcentral is "partial 16S ribosomal RNA". It matches the Rfam family "Bacterial small subunit ribosomal RNA", at positions 524 to 776 of the family's 1533-position model. The record is from RNAcentral.
UACGAAGGGGGCUAGCGUUGCUCGGAAUCACUGGGCGUAAAGCGCACGUAGGCGGCUUUUUAAGUCAGGGGUGAAAUCCCGGAGCUCAACUCCGGAACUGCCUUUGAUACUGAAAAGCUUGAGUUCGGGAGAGGUGAGUGGAACUGCGAGUGUAGAGGUGAAAUUCGUAGAUAUUCGCAAGAACACCAGUGGCGAAGGCGGCUCACUGGCCCGAUACUGACGCUGAUGCACGAAAGCGUGGGGAGCAAACAGG